UCGACCUGAGGUCAGGCAAGAACACCCGCUGAACUUAAGCAUAUCAAUAAGCGGAGGAAAAGAAACUAACUAGGAUUCCCUUAGUAGCGGCGAGCGAACCGGGAUGAGCCCAACUUGUAAAUCAUUAGCCCUUGGCUAAUUGAAUUGUAGUCUCAAGAUGCGAUCUCUGCAGCUAGCAGUGCCCAAUUUUCCUUGGAAAAGGGAGUCAGAGAGGGUGAGAACCCCGUCGGCACUUGCCUCAGCUGUUCCACGAGACGUUUUCUCAGAGUCGGGUUGCUUGGGAAUGCAGCCCUAAGUAGGUGGUAAAUCCCAUCUAAGGCUAAAUACUGACGGGAGACCGAUAGCGAACAAGUACCGUGAGGGAAAGAUGAAAAGAACUUUGAAAAGAGAGUCAAAAGUGCUUGAAAUUGUUGAGGGGGAAGGAAUUGUAAGCUGUUUGUGCGCCCGGGCUAAAGUGGGCAAUUCUGCCCAUUGUACGCCUUGGGUGCCGGUCAGCAUCGGCUAUUGG
Molecule: ribosomal RNA, 508 nt
Filed under: uncultured Trebouxia photobiont
Lineage: Eukaryota; Viridiplantae; Chlorophyta; Trebouxiophyceae; Trebouxiales; Trebouxiaceae
Description: eukaryotic LSU rRNA
Rfam family: Eukaryotic large subunit ribosomal RNA
Source: RNAcentral